UACGGGGGGGGCAAGCGUUGUUCGGAAUUACUGGGCGUAAAGGGCUCGUAGGCGGCCAACUAAGUCGGACGUGAAAUCCCCAGGCUCAACCUGGGAACUGCGUCUGAUACUGGAUGGCUUGAAUUCGGGAGAGGGAUGCAGAAUUCCAGGUGUAGCGGUGAAAUGCGUAGAUAUCUGGAGGAAUACCGGUGGCGAAGGCGGCAUCCUGGACCAACACUGACACUGAGGAGCGAAAGCCAGGGGAGCAAACGGG
RNAcentral lists this ribosomal RNA (253 nucleotides) under uncultured bacterium. RNAcentral describes it as "partial 16S ribosomal RNA". It matches the Rfam family "Bacterial small subunit ribosomal RNA", at positions 524 to 776 of the family's 1533-position model. The record is from RNAcentral.